CCUACGGGAGGCAGCAGUAAGGAAUAUUGGACAAUGCUCGCAAGAGUGAUCCAGCCAUGCCGCGUGCAGGAAGAAUGCCCUAUGGGUAGUAAACUGCUUUUGAACUAGAGAAAAUCCCAGUACGUGUACUGGGCUGAUAGUAUAGUUAGAAUAAGCAUCGGCUAACUUCGUGCCAGCAGCCGCGGUAAGACGAAGGAUGCAAGCGUUAUCCGGAUUCAUUGGGUUUAAAGGGAGCGUAGGUGGACUGAUAAGUCAGUGGUGAAAUCUCCGAGCUUAACUCGGAAAUUGCCAUUGAUACUGUUGGUCUUGAGUACAGUUGCUGUGGGCGGAAUAUGACAUGUAGUGGUGAAAUACAUAGAGAUGUCAUAGAACACCGAUUGCGAAGGCAGCUCACAAAGCUGUAACUGACACUGAGGCUCGAAAGUGCGGGGAUCAAACAGGAUUAGAUACCCUGGUAGUCCGCACCGUAAACGAUGAUUACUCGCUGCUAGGGGGCAACCUUUAGUGGCUUAGCGAAAGCGAUAAGUAAUCACCUGGGAGUACGCCGGCAACGGUGAAACGUCAAANAGAGUUAGAGNGNGAGAGNGCGACGGACGACGACGAGGGAGGAGG
Molecule: ribosomal RNA, 612 nt
Filed under: uncultured bacterium
Lineage: Bacteria
Description: bacterial SSU rRNA
Rfam family: Bacterial small subunit ribosomal RNA
Source: RNAcentral